Molecule: long non-coding RNA, 277 nt
Filed under: Arachis ipaensis
Lineage: Eukaryota; Viridiplantae; Streptophyta; Magnoliopsida; Fabales; Fabaceae
Description: long non-coding RNA (AIPA_LNC000043)
Source: RNAcentral
AUUAUAUCCAAAGGAUAAGGAAUGAGGAAUAUUAAGAGAUAUCAAUCUACUAUUAAGCAAGUGCCCAAGCGCAGUAAUAACAAUAUUAUCUUCCAGAAUAGGAUAUAAACAUCCAUAAACUGUUGAUUUAUCUAUAUUAAUAUGAAUAAAAUAUGUAUUCUUAGGUGCUUUUUCUUUACUAGAAAAUACUUUAAGUGGAAAUGGAGACAGAGUAUACUUACCAGUCUUUACCUUAUUUUGAAUCAAUUUAACAUUAUCGGGCGAUAACCCUACAAAU